This 483-nucleotide ribosomal RNA is filed under the name Triticum aestivum (bread wheat). RNAcentral's name for it is "partial small subunit ribosomal RNA". The record is from RNAcentral. Lineage: Eukaryota; Viridiplantae; Streptophyta; Magnoliopsida; Poales; Poaceae.
AUGUCGUUAGCCAUGGAAGUCGAGGCCAUCGGCCAAGAAACCUUCGGUGCAAUCACGAUGAUCGAGGACGGCGACGAUGACGAGGUGCUCACCAGCGACGACGGGGGCAGCGACAGUCACGGAGAGAUGAUCGUCACCGACGACGACGAGCUGUUCGAGCUCGACAUCACCUUCCUCCGCGGCGACAACGAGGACGGCCAAGGCCGACACGAUACGCACAGCGCUGGUGAUGGCGCCCAUGCCCUGAUGGCCAACUGCCUGCUGCCAGUGAGCUCGGUCAGCAUGGCGGUGCCGGUCACGGGCAGCAACAUUGUCUCAUCCUACUAUGCCUUCUCCACGUACAGCAGCUCGAGGAAGUCCGGCAUCAGCGGCGGUGGCAGGAGGAGACUUGGGCGCGCAGCUGCUGACGGCCGCAACUCCACUUGGGCGAGGUUUCGCCUCUCGAGCAGGGGAUUCGCAACCAUGGGGAAUUUUCAGAGAUAG